UACGUAGGGUGCAAGCGUUAAUCGGAAUUACUGGGCGUAAGGAGUGCGCAGGCGGCUCUUUAAGACAGGUGUGAAAUCCCCGAGCUCAACUUGGGAAUUGCGCUUGUGACUGGAGAGCUAGAGUGCAGAAGAGGGGGAUAGAAUUCCUGGUGUAGCAGUGAAAUGCGUAGAUAUCAGGAGGAAUACCGAUGGCGAAGGCAGUCCCCUGGGCUAGCACUGACGCUCAUGCACGAAAGCGUGGGGAGCAAACAGGAUUAGAUACCCAUGUAG
This 270-nucleotide ribosomal RNA is filed under the name Hydrogenophaga sp. Its description in RNAcentral is "partial 16S ribosomal RNA". It matches the Rfam family "Bacterial small subunit ribosomal RNA", at positions 524 to 793 of the family's 1533-position model. Lineage: Bacteria; Pseudomonadati; Pseudomonadota; Betaproteobacteria; Burkholderiales; Comamonadaceae. The record is from RNAcentral.